AUAAAUAAAUACGUUAUACCGUAGACAGUAGGUGCGAGACAGUCGCUUAAAUUACCUACCGAGGUGUGUAGAUAAUAUUUUGAGAUAGUUGUUCGCUCAUAACUAUCUCGGACUUAUGUGCCUCCAUGUCUACAUGGGGGCAUUUUUAAUGGCAAA
Molecule: regulatory RNA element, 156 nt
Organism: Pontibacillus yanchengensis Y32
Lineage: Bacteria; Bacillati; Bacillota; Bacilli; Caryophanales; Bacillaceae
Rfam family: Ribosomal protein L10 leader
About the family: This family is a putative r-protein leader autoregulatory structure found in B. subtilis and other low-GC Gram-positive bacteria. It is located in the 5' untranslated regions of mRNAs encoding ribosomal proteins L10 and L12 (rplJ-rplL).
Source: Rfam